UAGUACCGUGAGGGAAAGGUGAAAAGAACCCCGGGAGGGGAGUGAAAUAGAACCUGAAACCCUGCACUUACAAGCUGUGGGAGCACAUUACUUGUGUGACCGCGUACUUUUUGUAGAACGGGCCAACGAGUUACGUUAAGUAGCAAGGUUAAGCACUUAAGGUGUGGAGCCGUAGCGAAAGCGAGUCUUAAAUGGGCGAUUAAGUUACUUGGCGUAGACCCGAAACCGGGCGACCUAUCCAUGAGCAGGUUGAAGCGAAAGUAAAAUUUCGUGGAGGACCGAACCCACGAGCGUUGAAAAGCUCGGGGAUGACUUGUGGAUAGCGGUGAAAUUCCAAUCGAGCCCGGAGAUAGCUGGUUCUCCCCGAAAUAGCUUUAGGGCUAGCCUCAAGCGUAGAGAAACGGAGGUAGAGCACUGAAUGUCCUAGGGGGUAUUGCACUUACCGAAGACUAUCAAACUCCGAAUGCCGUUUUCUUUUACUUGGGAGUCAGACUGUGGGUGAUAAGAUUCAUAGUCAAAAGGGCAACAGCCCAGAUCGUCAGCUAAGGUCCCUAAAUGUACGUUAAGUGGUAAAGGAUGUGGGAUUGCACAGACAACCAGGAUGUUGGCUUAGAAGCAGCCACUCAUUUAAAGAGUGCGUAAUAGCUCACUGGUCGAGUGAUCCUGCGCCGAAAAUUUCCGGGGCUAAAACGUACUACCGAAGCUACGGCAUCAUUUAUGAUGGGUAGGGGAGCUUCGUAUGCAGGCUGAAGCAUGACCGUAAGGACAUGUGGACAGUAUACGAGUGAGAAUGUUGGCAUGAGUAGCGAGACGUGGGUGAGAAUCCCACGGGCCGUAAACCCAAGGUUUCCAGGGGAAGGUUCGUCCGCCCUGGGUUAGUCGGGACCUAAGCCGAGGCCGAAAGGCGUAGGUGAUGGACAACAGGUUGAUAUUCCUGUACCGCCAAUAAGCGUUUGAGAGAUGGAGUGACACAGUAGGAUAAGCUAACCGUACUGUUGGUUAUGUACGGCUAAGCAUUGAGGCAGUCUAAAUAGGCAAAUCCGUUUAGACAAUGCUAGGAUGUGAUGGGGAAGCCCUUCGGGGCGAAGUAGCUGAUUUCACACUGUCAAGAAAAGCUUCUAUCGAGUUUAAAGGCGCCCGUACCGUAAACCGACACAGGUGGGUGAGGAGAGUAUCCUAAGGCCAGCGAGAGAACUAUUGUUAAGGAACUCGGCAAAAUGACCCCGUAACUUAGGGAGAAGGGGUGCCUGUCUAUGACAGGCCGCAGAGAAUAGGCCCAAGCGACUGUUUACCAAAAACACAGGUUUCUGCUAAGUCGCAAGACGAUGUAUAGGAGCUGACGCCUGCCCGGUGCUGGAAGGUUAAGGGGAUCUGUUAGAGCAAUCGAAGCAGUGAACUUAAGCCCCAGUAAACGGCGGCCGUAACUAUAACGGUCCUAAGGUAGCGAAAUUCCUUGUCGGGUAAGUUCCGACCCGCACGAAAGGCGUAACGAUUUGGGCACUGUCUCAACAAUAGACUCGGUGAAAUUGUAAUCCCGGUGAAGAUGCCGGGUACCUGCGACAGGACGGAAAGACCCCAUGGAGCUUUACUGUAGCUUGACGUUGGGUCUUGGUACUACAUGUACAGGAUAGGUGGGAGACUAUGAAGCAUGGACGCCAGUCUGUGUGGAGUCAUCCUUGGGAUACCACCCUUGUAGUACUGGGAUCCUAACCAUAGGCCUUGAAUCAGGUCUUGGAACACCGUCAGGUGGGCAGUUUGACUGGGGCGGUCGCCUCCUAAAAAGUAACGGAGGCGCUCAAAGGUUUCCUCAGCACGGUCGGAAAUCGUGCGAAGAGUGUAAAGGCAAAAGGAAGCUUGAUUGCAAGACAUACAGGUCGAGCAAGGACGAAAGUCGGACUUAGUGAUCCGGUGGUUCCGCAUGGAAGGGCCAUCGCUCAACGGAUAAAAGCUACCCUGGGGAUAACAGGCUUAUCUCCCCCAAGAGUCCACAUCGACGGGGAGGUUUGGCACCUCGAUGUCGGCUCAUCACAUCCUGGGGCUGUAGUAGGUCCCAAGGGUUGGGCUGUUCGCCCAUUAAAGUGGUACGCGAGCUGGGUUCAGAACGUCGUGAGACAGUUCGGUCCCUAUCCGUCGCAGGCGUAGGAAAUUUGAGAAGACCUGUCCUUAGUACGAGAGGACCGGGAUGGACGUACCUCUGGUGUACCAGUUGUUCUGCCAAGGGCAUGGCUGGGUAGCUAUGUACGGAAUGGAUAAGCGCUGAAAGCAUCUAAGCGCGAAGCCAACUUCAAGAUAAGAUUUCCCACCGUAAGGGUAAGACCCCAGGAAGACUACCUGGUUGA
This 2339-nucleotide ribosomal RNA is filed under the name human gut metagenome. Its description in RNAcentral is "bacterial LSU rRNA". It matches the Rfam family "Bacterial large subunit ribosomal RNA", at positions 496 to 2856 of the family's 2925-position model. The record is from RNAcentral.